This 253-nucleotide ribosomal RNA is filed under the name uncultured bacterium. Its description in RNAcentral is "partial 16S ribosomal RNA". It matches the Rfam family "Bacterial small subunit ribosomal RNA", at positions 524 to 776 of the family's 1533-position model. The record is from RNAcentral.
UACGAAGGGGGCUAGCGUUGCUCGGAAUCACUGGGCGUAAAGGGUGCGUAGGCGGGUCUUUAAGUCAGGGGUGAAAUCCUGGAGCUCAACUCCAGAACUGCCUUUGAUACUGAGGAUCUUGAGUUCGGGAGAGGUGAGUGGAACUGCGAGUGUAGAGGUGAAAUUCGUAGAUAUUCGCAGGAACACCAGUGGCGAAGGCGGCUAACUGGUCCAUAACUGACGCUGAGGUGCGAAAGCGUGGGGAGCAAACAGG